UAGAGCCGAUACUGCUUUUGCUCCCUCAAUCAUAAAAAUAACACUGAUAACAAAUGUUACAAGUCUCAAUUUAAAAAAAGGAACAUUUAUUGAACUUCAAUAUAAAAAACAAUAUUUAACAAAUAGUAAAAACAGGUGAGGUAGAACAAGUAAGAACAAAACAAGUAAAAAAUAAAAAAAACUAGGCGGAAAAAAUAU
Molecule: long non-coding RNA, 198 nt
Organism: Gadus macrocephalus (Pacific cod)
Lineage: Eukaryota; Metazoa; Chordata; Actinopteri; Gadiformes; Gadidae
Exons: 2
Source: RefSeq, a predicted model, not a curated record